GACGAACGCUGGCGGCGUGCUUAACACAUGCAAGUCGAACGGAAAGGCCCUGCUUUUGUGGGGUGCUCGAGUUGCGAACGGGUGAGUAACACGUGAGUAACCUGCCAUUGACUUUGGGAUAACUUCAGGAAACUGGGGCUAAUACCGGAUAGGAGCUCCUGCUGCAUGGUGGGGGUUGGAAAGUUUCGGCGGUUGGGGAUGGACUCGCGGCUUAUCAGCUUGUUGGUGGGGUAGUGGCUUACCAAGGCUUUGACGGGUAGCCGGCCUGAGAGGGUGACCGGCCACAUUGGGACUGAGAUACGGCCCAGACUCCUACGGGAGGCAGCAGUGGGGAAUAUUGCACAAUGGGCGGAAGCCUGAUGCAGCAACGCCGCGUGCGGGAUGACGGCCUUCGGGUUGUAUACCGCUUUCGCCUGUGACGAAGCGUGAGUGACGGUAAUGGGUAAAGAAGCACCGGCUAACUACGUG
This 468-nucleotide ribosomal RNA is filed under the name uncultured bacterium. Its description in RNAcentral is "partial 16S ribosomal RNA". It matches the Rfam family "Bacterial small subunit ribosomal RNA", at positions 28 to 507 of the family's 1533-position model. The record is from RNAcentral.